CUGGCUCAGGAUGAACGCUAGCUACAGGCCUAACACAUGCAAGUCGAGGGGCAGCAUGGGCUUAGCUUGCUAAGCCUGAUGGCGACCGGCGCACGGGUGAGUAACGCGUAUCCGACCUUCCGGCGGCUCGGGUCCAGCCUUUCGAAAGAAAGAUUAAUCCCCGAUGGUGUCAGGCAGUUCCAUGACAGCCUGACUAAAGA
Molecule: ribosomal RNA, 200 nt
Filed under: Bacteroides gallinaceum
Lineage: Bacteria; Pseudomonadati; Bacteroidota; Bacteroidia; Bacteroidales; Bacteroidaceae
Description: partial 16S ribosomal RNA
Rfam family: Bacterial small subunit ribosomal RNA
Source: RNAcentral